ACGAGUUAGGGUCUCUCCAGGCCCGACCUCCCAACCCUUUGUUUACCGAACCUCUGUUGCUUCGGCGGACCCGUCUUACGACCGCCGGGGGACCGCUGACAGGCGUCCUCUAGCCAGUGUCCGUCGAUAGCCAAACAUUUAAAAUCUUAACUAAACGUGUCUUGAAUCUAAGUAUUAUUGUUAAAUAAAAACA
Molecule: unclassified non-coding RNA, 193 nt
Filed under: uncultured Herpotrichiellaceae
Lineage: Eukaryota; Fungi; Ascomycota; Eurotiomycetes; Chaetothyriales; Herpotrichiellaceae
Description: sequence contains ITS1
Source: RNAcentral